GGGCUAGUAAUGGUUUCGACGGGGAUCAUGCAGCUGGAGAAGCGAGUCGUAUGCAAUGCGUUAAAUGGCAAACUUAAAUAUAAACGCUGAAGAAAAUUUAGCUUACGCUGCUUAAUUGCAGCAGUCUGACCUAGUGCACCUACACAUUAGGACCCAGGCUUCGACUAUGUAGGAAACGACGUUAGCAAAGCUUUGAGCUAGCGGGCGUAUCAUGAAGCUACUAAAGCCGUCAGGGUGUCUGUUCCCGGGCGGUGGAGGGAAUGUCAAAGAACUGACUACACUCGUAGAAGGACAGGGAAUUGGUUUUCGGACACGGGUUCGACUCCCGUCUAGUCCAUAA
RNAcentral lists this transfer-messenger RNA (340 nucleotides) under Agathobacter sp. It matches the Rfam family "transfer-messenger RNA". Rfam says of the family: Bacterial tmRNA, also known as 10Sa RNA or SsrA, is named for its dual tRNA and mRNA-like properties. Its role is to liberate the mRNA from a stalled ribosome. The record is from RNAcentral. Lineage: Bacteria; Bacillati; Bacillota; Clostridia; Lachnospirales; Lachnospiraceae.